RNAcentral lists this ribosomal RNA (253 nucleotides) under uncultured bacterium. RNAcentral describes it as "partial 16S ribosomal RNA". It matches the Rfam family "Bacterial small subunit ribosomal RNA", at positions 524 to 776 of the family's 1533-position model. The record is from RNAcentral.
UACGUAGGGUGCGAGCGUUGCCCGGAUUUAUUGGGCGUAAAGGGCGCGUAGGCGGCCACGCACGUCCGUUGUGAAAUCGCCCGGCUCAACUGGGCGGGGUCGGCGGAUACGGCGUGGCUGGAGCAAGCUAGGGGGCAAUGGAAUUCCCGGUGUAGUGGUGGAAUGCGUAGAUAUCGGGAGGAACACCAGUGGCGAAGGCGGUUGCCUGAAGCUUUGCUGACGCUAAGGCGCGAAAGCGUGGGGAGCGAUCCGG